GGCUCUGUGGGACAAUGGAUAGCGCAUUGGACUUCUAGGCUGUGAGCUAAGUGAUUCAAAAGUUGUGGGUUCGAGUCCCAUCAGAGUCG
This is a non-coding RNA of Danio rerio (zebrafish), 89 nucleotides long. Lineage: Eukaryota; Metazoa; Chordata; Actinopteri; Cypriniformes; Danionidae. The record is from Rfam.